UUACGGUCAUAUCAGGUUGAAACACUGAUUCUUGUACGAUCACCGAAGUUAAGCAACGUCGAGCCUGGUUAUUACUUAAAUGCAUGACAACGUGGGAAUACCAAGUGCUGUAAG
Molecule: non-coding RNA, 114 nt
Organism: Acanthosepion pharaonis
Lineage: Eukaryota; Metazoa; Mollusca; Cephalopoda; Sepiida; Sepiidae
Source: the annotation of a GenBank genome assembly